UUUAAUUGCAGGUUGAUGGUGCAGAAUCUUAUUCAGUUGCAAUGAAAGACGUGGGAAUCAAUGUUUCAGUCGAGGAUCGUAAGAAAAUUAUUUUUGAGCAAUCUAAUGCAUUAGCAGAAAGUGUAAAUGGCCAAAUUCUUAUUCCAAAAGGUUUGCUUGAUGAGGUUGUAAAUCUUGUUGAGGCACCUUUUCCUGUGCUUGGAAAGUUUAAAGAAACCUUCUUAGAUCUUCCAAAAGAUCUUUUGACUAUGGU
Molecule: non-coding RNA, 253 nt
Organism: Cajanus cajan (pigeon pea)
Lineage: Eukaryota; Viridiplantae; Streptophyta; Magnoliopsida; Fabales; Fabaceae
Source: RefSeq, a predicted model, not a curated record